This 761-nucleotide long non-coding RNA is filed under the name Sparus aurata (gilthead seabream). RNAcentral describes it as "lncRNA (ENSSAUG00010012358.1)". Lineage: Eukaryota; Metazoa; Chordata; Actinopteri; Spariformes; Sparidae. The record is from RNAcentral.
CAACUGUCACCAGGUAAAGUCUGGAUAUCUGAAGAGUCUGUUGAUGCUGGUCAGUGGGGCCGAACCGACCCUCUCCGUCCCCUGCUUGCAUCCUCCCAUCCUGCCGACAGCGCAUGUUCUCAUCUCCGCCGCUGGCAUUAUGUGCCCACCUGCGACUGUCCCGCCGAAAAAGGGUCUCUCAUCCGGCAUUACGUGCCCGCCAGAGAGUCUACAAAAGGCGCAUCUCUCUCCUCCCUCCAUGUUGUCUGUGCCGCUGCGUGGUUUUACACAGACCAUCUGACAGCACAAUGAUAAUCUACAGAGACACAAAUGAACAGCAAACCGAUACCUUUGAUGACACCGAUGAACAACAUGAUUACAACAGUUGGUGGUUGCCUAGCAACGGUAAAGCGUCAGCUCUUUCCCUUCUAUGUUUGUCCGCUGUGUGUAUGGGGCAGGAGCUGUGCUUGGUGUCUCCGUCAGUAACCAUCAGCUGUUUCUCUGUUGUCAGAAUAAAUUCCGUGAACCUGACUAUAGCCUGUGUGUUGUCUCUACUGAUCCGAACCGAACAAGAGGGUUACAGUUACAUGGGCCCAAUUAAUGUUGACCAGAAAAAGGCCAUCACAGAUGCUGUUACUUUGCAUGGACUGUUGAGGCUCAUCCCAAUCCUGAACCAGCUACGUGAGGAGUUGAGGCUGUAUGGAGUAGAUGAGGUUUUGGGCCACCAUGACCAGAUGUGCAAGCAACUAUUUGUUCCUGGCUUCAUACAGGAGAGGCGCUAG